CGCGUAGGCGGGAAUGAAAGUCAGACGUUAAAGACCGAAGCUUAACUUCGGGAAAGCAUCUGAAACUCCAUUUCUUGAGGUUGGACGGAGAAAGCGGAAUUCCAUGUGUAGCGGUGAAAUGCGUAGAUAUAUGGAGGAACACCUGUGGCGAAAGCGGCUUUCUAGUUUAUACCUGACGCUGAGGCGCGAAAGCAAGGGGAGCGAACAGGAUUAGAUACCCUGGUAGUCC
RNAcentral lists this ribosomal RNA (229 nucleotides) under uncultured bacterium. Its description in RNAcentral is "partial 16S ribosomal RNA". It matches the Rfam family "Bacterial small subunit ribosomal RNA", at positions 568 to 796 of the family's 1533-position model. The record is from RNAcentral.